Molecule: ribosomal RNA, 459 nt
Filed under: uncultured bacterium
Lineage: Bacteria
Description: partial 16S ribosomal RNA
Rfam family: Bacterial small subunit ribosomal RNA
Source: RNAcentral
CCUACGGGUGGCUGCAGUGAGGAAUAUUGGUCAAUGGGCUAAGGCCUGACCCAGCAAAGUCGCGUGAGGGAAGACGGUCCUAUGGAUUGUAAAAUUCUUUUGUCGGGGAGCAACGAGGCCACGUGUGGCCGAAGUGAGAGUACCCGAAGAAAAAGCCUCGGCUAACUCCGUGCCAGCAGCCGCGGUAAUACGGAGGAUGCGAGCGUUAUCCGGAUUUCUUGGGGUUUAAGGGGGCGUAGGCGGAACAUUAAGUCAGCGGUAAAAUAGAGGGGCUCAACCCCUUUAAGCCGUUGAAACUGGUUAUCUUGAGUGGGCGAGAAGUAUGCGGAAUGCGGGGUGUAGCGGUGAAAUGCAUAGAGAUCACGCAGAACUCCGAUUGCGAAGGCAGCAUACCGGCGCCCGACUGACGCUGAGGCACGAAAGCGUGGGGAUCGAACAGGAUUAGAUACCCCGGUAGUC